This is a long non-coding RNA of Salvia miltiorrhiza (redroot sage), 448 nucleotides long. RefSeq lists it as uncharacterized. The transcript is spliced from 4 exons. Lineage: Eukaryota; Viridiplantae; Streptophyta; Magnoliopsida; Lamiales; Lamiaceae. The record is from RefSeq and is a predicted model, not a curated record.
UAAUCAGCUCUCCAUAAGUUCAGUAUAAAACCAUCCUCAUUCACCUUCUUCAUCACAGCAGCAAAUCUACUCCAUCCUUUAUGCACCAAAAAUCAUAGAGAGUUUAUUUCAGCUGCAAUCUGGACCCCAAGAGUUUAUUCACUCCUGAAUUCAUUAGCACAGCAGCCAACCAAGCACAAAACACACAAGGUCAAGCACAAGAGUUUAAGGCUUAGUCGUGAGUCUCUACUACCAGGUUGAGCUGUGAUGAACGAUGAAGUGUUGCUGAGUGGAGCUUUUGUCGAACUUAGAAUAGGCUCAGAAAUGAUAUGUGUCUGCAUACAUGUAUCUCAGUCUUGCCUUCCGCUGCAAACACUGAUUAUGUUUUAGUCAAGUCUAUAUUUAUGUCAAUUACUCUUCAAGAAAUAUUUAACGCUUACUCGGGUUCAUCGAGUAUCCUUUUUAACUA